AGCUCCAAUAGCGUAUAUUAAAGUUGUUGCAGUUAAAAAGCUCGUAGUUGGAUUUCUGUUUUGAGCGUCCGGUCCGCUCUUUUGGAGUGUGUUACUAGGAUGUUUGAGACAUUUUUUGUGAGGAUGUUCUUCUGCCAUUCAGUUGGUGGUUGAAUAGACUUGCAUCGUUUACUGUGAAAAAAUUAGAGUGUUUAAAGCAGGCGUUUGCUCAUUGAAUACAUUAGCAUGGAAUAAUAAGAUACGACCUUGGUGGUCUAUUUUGUUGGUUUGCACACCAGGGUAAUGAUUAAUAGGGACAGUUGGGGGUAUUCAUAUUUCAGCGUCAGAGGUGAAAUUCUUGGAUCGCUGAAAGAUGAGCUUAGGCGAAAGCAUUUACCAAGGAUGUUUUCA
Molecule: ribosomal RNA, 390 nt
Filed under: uncultured eukaryote
Lineage: Eukaryota
Description: SSU rRNA
Rfam family: Eukaryotic small subunit ribosomal RNA
Source: RNAcentral